GGACAUGGUGGGUAAGGAUGCUAGGGAUGAAAGUGAGCAUAAAGACAAGGGGGAACAUUAUUAGUGAGCGAUAAAGGAAAAGUGAUGCUCACACCACCCACCAACAACAACCACGGAGGGAAGAGCUACAAAUAUAGUAGGGAUGAGGUAGCAUCUAAGAGCGGGGCUAAUGAGCUAUGAUUCCGAUGGGGUAAGGAUCAAUGGAGAAAGAGGUGUGGAUGUUGUUAGAUUCGGGUGAUUGAAUUAGACCUGAGCAAAGUGUGCGUCAGGCCGGGUUGGCAAAAAACCCAGAAUGAUUCGGGCUAAAAAAUGUGACCGAUCCCGCCCAUGAACAGUUUUUGGAUGGCUUUUUCGGACUUUUUUUGGCUAGGUUGUCCGUUCAUUUUUAGUUGGGAAAUAAAAAAAUUAAUCGAGCGGGGUUUGGCCCGCUUGGAUUUUUUUACGGGCUGGCAAAAUUUGCGCCACGACCCGACCCUAUAAAGGUCAUAGGCCGGGUUUAGCCAGGCGGGCUCGAGCUGGGCCAAAUUUGCUAAGGUCUAG
RNAcentral lists this long non-coding RNA (540 nucleotides) under Setaria viridis. RNAcentral's name for it is "long non-coding RNA (SVIR_LNC010175)". The record is from RNAcentral. Lineage: Eukaryota; Viridiplantae; Streptophyta; Magnoliopsida; Poales; Poaceae.